Long non-coding RNA from Colossoma macropomum (tambaqui), 213 nucleotides. RefSeq lists it as uncharacterized. The transcript has 2 exons. The record is from RefSeq and is a predicted model, not a curated record. NCBI's taxonomy places the organism in Eukaryota, Metazoa, Chordata, Actinopteri, Characiformes, Serrasalmidae.
ACGGAAAUGCAAAGUGAGCAGCAACACCACAGAAGAGAUUUCCAAACAUGCUAUCCGAUGGUUCAAUCUUGCAUCAGACCGCGGAGGCGGACGCUGGGAGAGAUACAGGUCAUCUACAGCUCUUCAAACCACAGAGGGUUAAUAAUUCACUUUUGGAAAACACAAAAAGGCGCUAAAUGUUAAGUGUUCAAUAAAUAUUGUAUUCAUAUUCAA